This 88-nucleotide microRNA precursor is filed under the name Marmota monax (woodchuck). RNAcentral's name for it is "mir-204 microRNA precursor family". It matches the Rfam family "mir-204 microRNA precursor family". The record is from Rfam by way of RNAcentral. RNAcentral also lists the same sequence under 1 other name. Lineage: Eukaryota; Metazoa; Chordata; Mammalia; Rodentia; Sciuridae.
AUGUGACUUGUGGGCUUCCCUUUGUCAUCCUUUGCCUAGGGCUUUGAGUGGGGCAGGGACAGCAAAGGGGUGCUCAGUCGUCACCUCC